CAAAUUCUUCACAGUGUUGGUUCAUUAUUUAUACAAGUGGUACUACCUCAAAAGUGCGGCUCACCUCGGAAGCUUCACCAUAUGAGGACAGAUAAAGGAGGAGAAGUCACGCUCAUACACCUCUACUCAACUGGAGAUUUGUUCAGAAAAGUGCGUUCCUUGUGAAAAGGGGCUCACAAAUACCACGAUUUGCAGCAAAGGCACCACAUCUGCUCCGCUUAAUUGCAGAUCAGUCAGCCCUUUUCACAUAAUUAACAAGGCAACAACCAAAACAUUUUGUCCUCCCACAUUGAGGAGCAUCACCUCCAUCAUGGCAUUUCCCUCAUGGCAGGGUGUCCUACUUACACUCUGCACGCUGCAGCUAUUAUGUGCAACACAACAAACGAUGUCAACAGCUGCCACAUCACCAACAGAAACGAAUGAAGCAAGUGAACAAUUUGAUGGAUUUGACACCACCUUCUGUCAAGACAAAGACAACGGACAGCUUCCUUUCUCAAUAUUCAAACUGUGUGGGUGUUUGUUUGAGUGUAUCCUGAUGUCAAUGGGUUGCUUGAAGAGACCUCCACAGCUUUCGGAGCCUUGCCCAAUGCAAGCUUUGCAGUCAAAAGCCUGUUUGUAAAGACCAAAUGUGAUGUGUACCAGGUCUGCACGCUGUCAUUGCUCUUCUAUGGUUCUGAAUGUUGGAAAUUGGUCUGAGAACAUCUGUCGACAUUGAACGUUUUUCAAUACUUGGCACUUUGAAUGUGUGUACACACAAUUGUUGGCAUCUCAAACAGAACCCAAUGGUCAGAGUGCAUAACGGAGGGAAUGUUGGGGAUUCCUAGAAACAAUAACUGAACAAUGCCUGGCGUGGCCAGGCCACCUUGUCUGCAUUCUCAAUCAUACCACCCCAAAUAUAAUGUCUUUAGCUCGUUGCCUCAGCCUCACUCAGUAGGCAAGCCAAGCAAACAGAGCAGAGAUGUGAUCCGCCAGGAAUUAAAGGAUGUUGGAGUGCAAGAAUACAAGAGGCAUGACAUCGCAACCACUUCCAAAGUGACGUGAUGCACAAUUUGCCACAUCUCUGUGAGAGAACUUCAGCAAAGUGAUUUAACUGAUGAGCCACCAAACCAAGCAGAGUGCAGGUCAAUGUGGAUGGACCUUAAGGAUGAAAAAUGACAUAAGUAGGCUCAAGUAUAUCUCAGAAAGACAAAGGCCUAUUCGUGAUCUAUGUCCAGAAUGCCAGAAACGGUUUGCUAAUCGUGGUGCACUUGCAGUUUGUAGGUUUGGACCAUCCUAACAGUGACCAUACAGAGACUUUGGAGAAUUCUUCUCAAUAUUUGUUCUCCCUAAUGGAAGUAGCAUGACCAUGUAAUGGCAGCAACUGAACAUCACAAGGUGUGUGUGUGUGUCCACAUGCAAAUCAACUAUAAUACAUGACAUAGGUGUGGACAUGGUUACUGAGACAAAUACCCUGGUCAGGCUGUGCAUUGUUUACUACUUUGUUUUCCUAUUCCUCUCCUUUCCCAUUGUAGUUGCUUCAUAAUUACAUUCUUGUUGUUGAGAAUAUUUUGCCCUCAUUUUUUACAAUCGACUUCUCCACUGCAAUACAUUUUAUGAAUAAUUGUCACGUCUGGGUUGCACUUCAUUCCAUGAUAAUGCUUUUUUGUUUUGAUUUCGGCAUCCAUGUCUGGCGUUUACGUUUCUUUUAGGUCAUGCUCACACAGAACGUUUACACAAAGGGUCAAAAAAGGUUUUUGCACAACCUUGAAAGAAUGGUCCGUACAAGUCAUUCCACUGCAUAUCACCUGUGUUUAUUGCUCAGGAAAUUUUUUGAAAAGGGAAAAACUUUGACAUCCCCUCUCCCCUCCUUACUCCGUAUUUACAUCAUUAUCUAGUAACGGAUCAUCAAAUACAUCAAACAGUAGUUUAACUGCAAGCCUAGCAUUGUAAACAUUUUCAGGCUUUUGUGCACCUCAUCGAAACAUGGCCCAUUGAUCGUUUGCUCUCACAUCACCUCAUUACGAACACCUCUGCCAUGUAGUAACCUGAUUCAGAACAGUCAUUUGAUGCUUCAGCAAUGCGACAACACUGUUUUACCGUUUAUGGAUGUCUUUUCACUGCACAACAUGGCGACUUACUUUUGAAAGUACCAAACGCCUCCAGAUCAUGCUUUGCCAACCACAAUCUACACCCGUGGAAGAUUCGGUGAGAGCGGCCUGUGUGCUUUUCCACAAGUUCACCUUAUAGUGUGCAUUCUGACACCUGUGUGGAAUGUACCUGCUAUGUGGCAUCACACCACUUGCUGCAGAAUCAAUGUGGAAACUCUUUCCUCACCAGCUAGGAAUUCGUUCAGAUUGCUGGCUUAUGCUAAUGUCAAUGGGUUACAAUUCUUGGACUGGUGAAUUUUGAAAAAAAAAAAAAAUUAAAACCAUCGAAUUGGACAUGCCACCUGGGCAUCCAGAUAAUGAGUUUAUCGACAUGUGAUGCCCUGUUUUCCCUGAACGUUUUGUUCUUCUUUCCAUUUUCUCACGCUUUGCCUUCCUGUUUAUAUUCUUAUUUAUUUUGAUGUUUACUUUUGCUUGAAUAUUUUGCAAAUCAUUUUCCACGUCAUCAGUGGUCGAGUUUGACUUUUGUGUUUUCCAGCCACCACUGUCAACUGCAUAUUUAAUCUUAUUUGUGUUCUUCUUCCUUGUCUUUAUGUAAGCUCAACUCUGAGCUGGGCUGUUAUAAGUUUCUUAAAAGUAAAUACUUUGAUCAGCAAAUUAUGAAAAUGUUCACUUUGAAAUGAUGAUUCCAAAUAAAGUUUCAAAUCUCGUUUUCUUUUCCUCCCUCCAUGUUUUAUCGAUGAUCAUGAAGAGUUCCCAUCCCCUGCAGUGAUGGACUUUUAACAGGUUAAUUGUGUUUCAUUCUUAAUUUCACGCAUAUGGAGUCAAAGCUCUGAUCUACUUCUACUGUCAACUGUGAAAUGGAGGUGCAACAUCAGGUGGGGAAGGUUCAAUUUGUUUUAAAAGAGCGCAAAAUAUGCUGCUUGCUAAAUACAAUUUGACAUGACUAGCAUACAUGGCAAGUUGAAGGCGACAAAAAACGGGGUUGGUAGGAAUCGAAAGCGGUUUUUUUUAACCCUUUGCAUGCUGCAGUCGCAGAUUUGUGACAAGAUAAAAAAAAAAUUGAAACUAUUUUUAAUUGUUUUAAUUUUGGUUAUUCGUCUAACUUGACACCUAAGUUGUGUGUUUUUUUUUGCAAAUACCACUUGAAAUUCAGAGCCCAAUGAAAAAUAUAAGUUCAGCAACAUAGAACCAUGCAGCCAUAAACAAUGGAGCAUGCAAAGGGUUAAAACCAAACGUGGUGAAAGCGCUGUUUGAUAUGUUGAUUAAUCAGUAAUGAUAAAGAGGUUCCAAGUCAGACAUACAAACAUACAUACAGAACAUUUCUCAAGCAAAGAAUAUUUCUGUUAUGUCGCUCAACAGACGCUAAACAAUGCGAGUGAUUGCAGGGCACAAGUCCAUUUAUUCUGCAGCAUGUAACGUUCACAGAUUUCUGACUCCGUUAAGAUGGAGUUAAGAUCUCUGACUCCUGGUAACAGACUCCCUCAUGUUCCACAUGCCCCUCUCUCUUGCAUCAUCAUCUUCCUCACAAUCUGUCAACAUCAGGAAAUUCAACAACAACAUAUUUGGAAAUAAUAUAACACUGAAGAAAGAACAGAACAAUUUUUCUAAGUUUUAUUUACUUUUUUCAUUUCCCGUUGUCACCUGUGACACGUGACAUGACAUUUACUGCAAAUAGCGUCCCCACAAUAAAGAGCAGCGUUGCCUGAUUUAUGGCGAACAAAUGGCAAUGAAUGCUACAUGAUGAACUUGAGAAAUCUUGACAAUAAAACUAGGAGAAACGUUUGUUCAUUCACAAGCAUCAAAUCGCAUCAUUGUAUCCAAUUUCAUUCAUUUUUUUUAAAAAAAUCACGGUUUGAAUUUGAAACGGUAAUUUGUG
RNAcentral lists this long non-coding RNA (3963 nucleotides) under Eptatretus burgeri (inshore hagfish). RNAcentral's name for it is "lncRNA (ENSEBUG00000017490.1)". The record is from RNAcentral. Lineage: Eukaryota; Metazoa; Chordata; Myxini; Myxiniformes; Myxinidae.